AGAAUGAACGUUGGCGGCGUGGAUUAGGCAUGCAAGUCGUACGGGCCGCAAGGCCAGUGGCGCAAGGGUGAGUAAGGCGACGGUAACCAACCCCAUGAUUGGGUAUAGCCGUGGGAAACCGCGGGUAAUCCCCAGCGACGUCAAUCGGAGGCAUCUCUGGUUGACCAAAGCUCUGGCGUCGUGGGACGGGCUGUCGUGGUAUUAGCUAGUUGGCGGGGUAACGGCCCACCAAGGCUUUGAUGCCUACCGGGCGUGCGAGCGUGGCCCGGCACACUGGGACUGAGACACUGCCCAGACUCCUACGGGAGGCUGCAGUCGAGAAUCUUCGGCAAUGGGCGCAAGCCUGACCGAGCGACGCCGCGUGGAGGACGAAGGCCUUCGGGUUGUAAACUCCUGUCGAGGGGGAAGAAGGGGUAAACCUUGACUGAUCCCUGGAGGAAGCACGGGCUAAGUUCGCGCCAGCAGCCGC
This 469-nucleotide ribosomal RNA is filed under the name uncultured bacterium. RNAcentral's name for it is "SSU rRNA". It matches the Rfam family "Bacterial small subunit ribosomal RNA", at positions 26 to 518 of the family's 1533-position model. The record is from RNAcentral.